Molecule: non-coding RNA, 107 nt
Organism: Oesophagostomum dentatum (nodular worm)
Lineage: Eukaryota; Metazoa; Nematoda; Chromadorea; Rhabditida; Strongylidae
Source: Rfam
GGUUUUAACCCAGUAUCACAAGGUACUAAGGGUGUCUGACCUACCUUAGGGUUGUGUCACAAACCUUAAUUUUUGGAUCGCCUUCUCGGGGUAUCCGGGAGGGCAAC